CCUACGGGUGGCAGCAGUAGGGAAUUUUCGUCAAUGGGCGCAAGCCUGAACGAGCGAUGCCGCGUGAGUGAUGAAGGCCUUCGGGUCGUAAAGCUCUGUUGCGGGGGAAAAAAGGCAGCAUCAGUAAAUGGGUGCUGACUGAUGGUGCCCCUCCAGACAGUCCCGGCUAACUACGUGCCAGCAGCCGCGGUAAUACGUAGGUGGCGAGCGUUAUCCGGAAUGAUUGGGCGUAAAGGGUGCGCAGGCGGUCCUGCAAGUCUGGAGUGAAACGGAUGAGCUCAACUCCUGCAGGGCUUUGGAGACUGGAGGAGUGGAGAGGAGGAGAGGGCGGUGGAACUCCAUGUGUAGCGGUAGAAU
Molecule: ribosomal RNA, 357 nt
Filed under: uncultured bacterium
Lineage: Bacteria
Description: partial 16S ribosomal RNA
Rfam family: Bacterial small subunit ribosomal RNA
Source: RNAcentral